CUCCAGUGAUGACCUCCACUUUUGCGCCACGUGUCUGGGCCACUGAUAUACUCUGUUCAUCGAUUUGCCAUUUCUGCAG
Small nucleolar RNA from Carassius auratus (goldfish), 79 nucleotides. Ensembl annotates it as small nucleolar RNA SNORD66. The record is from Ensembl. NCBI's taxonomy places the organism in Eukaryota, Metazoa, Chordata, Actinopteri, Cypriniformes, Cyprinidae.